Molecule: unclassified non-coding RNA, 1586 nt
Filed under: Hevea brasiliensis (rubber tree)
Lineage: Eukaryota; Viridiplantae; Streptophyta; Magnoliopsida; Malpighiales; Euphorbiaceae
Source: RNAcentral
CUGAAAUAUAAUGCCUAUAGCACAAAUUGAAAGAAAAGAAUUCGGGUUAACAGAAUCAGUAUACCUAUGGAUUAUUACACUUGAAAGUCAUGGAUUCAAUGCCAAAAUCUUAACUUAAAAAUAGCAAGAUAAAUCCACCAACCCAAGGUAGAAGAAAUAACCAGGAUAUUGAAGGUGAAGUACAUCUGAAAUUAUGCAAAAGGAGAAAAACAUUUCUCUCAAAAUGUUCCUAGUCUGCUCAAUGGAGAAUUCUAGAACAGUUCAAGCAAAUCAUAACUUAAAAUCUAAAACAUUAGUAGAUUUCCAGCUUUCUGUUUAGGAUGUGAUGAAGAUCCUGGCAUCUGGGCCAACAAUAGAAAGCUUGAUUCAAUGGCGAAGAAGUUAGGAUGAAACUUUCAAGCUUUUCAAUGCCGAACCAAGCACAGAAACCUUGUCGGAAGCUCUUUGCUUGUAGUCUUUUUCCAAGGCUGCUGUUGCAAGAGAUUGCAGGUCUGGACUAUCCUUUUCUUCCUUGUUUCGCCCUUUUGUAAGUUGUGCGAUGGCAGAUGUACACAAACAAAUACCAAAAAGCGCUCUGGUGUUCUUGCCCCCAGUCAACUCUAUUGCGGAUGAAUAAUAUUUCUUAGCUGCCUGAAGGUUUUCUAGUCCACCAAGUGUGUACAGCACAUCAGCAUAGGCUAAAUGAUAUAGUGGAACUGUAGGCUGUGCCAAUAUUAACUCUUCAUAGCAGAAUGCUGCUUGUUUAUACCUAAUAUAUUGAAGUGAAGACAUAGAUUAAGCUGUUGAGAAAGUAUUCAGCUGCAACAUAACUGAAGGAAUUUGGUAGACAUUAGCUUUUUUAAGAUAUAACUUAGAAAGGAAAACUCACAUCUGUAGGGAAACAUAUAUCUCAGCAAGUUCUCUCCAGGUAUCAGAAUCAGCCAUAAAUCUACCAAAGUUGGAAGGGAAUAAACAAGAAAAGAACAAAACCCAUCUGUGUGUUACACUAAAACAUUAUCAGAACACAAGAAAGUAGGGUUUUGAGAUAUGCCUCACAUUUCAAGAUAUUUGUUGAUAAAUUCAAUAGCCUCUGACAUGUUGCCUUGUGCCUUUGCCAAAGCCACCCUCCUUUUAUGUAUUACCUGAUCCAAUGGAUUGUCCUCUAGCAGGCUUAAGUAAGCCUUUUCUGCCUCUGUCCAAGACCCCUUUGCUUCAAGUAACAUGCCCUCCAGUCUGCCUGUGAUUUAUGCCAAAUCAACAAUACUCAGCCAUCACAAAUCAAUGAGUUCAAGAAGUGUAUUUCUUCCUGAAAUCUAUUGGGCACCAUUCAAGGUUCAAAGUGUCAAACUACAGUCUAUCAUUCACGGAUGCAUAAAAGGAAGUCCUCCCUCUCUAUCACCAUUCACCAAACCAUUGAAUGUUGAAAGUCUAAUGAAGAGUUUUAGGAAUUUAACUAAACCCAAAGAAAUAUCGAUAUUGGAUCGAUGUCAAGAAUUAGUUAUUUUAAGAAAAACUUUGAAACUUAACUAUUUAGAGCUCAUUUUGUCUUCUUAUUAUAUUACGCAUUAGGAUUAAUUGUUUUCUAGAAAGAAAAAAAGGGGUAGACC